Molecule: ribosomal RNA, 203 nt
Filed under: uncultured bacterium
Lineage: Bacteria
Description: partial 16S ribosomal RNA
Rfam family: Bacterial small subunit ribosomal RNA
Source: RNAcentral
UUGCAGGCUGCAACUCGCCUGCAUGAAGUUGGAAUUGCUAGUAGUCGCGAAUCAGAAUGUCGCGGUGAAUACGUUCCCGGGCCUUGUACACACCGCCCGUCACACCAUGAGAGUCGAUAACACCCGAAGCCUGUGAGCUAACCGUAAGGAGGCAGCAGUCGAAGGUGGGGUUGAUGAUUGGGGUNAAGUCGUAACAAGGUAGC